GGUGCUCUCUCACACACAACUUUGACCGUGACCAGAAGUGGGGAUUCUGCAGUUCACAAGCACGACUCUUUAAUGGGUUUCUUCCUCCGCGUCGCGGGUCGAGUCUCUGUCGGCAGAACCCGUGUUUAAAUGGCGGCGUUUGUGCGACAGCCGCUCAUCUGAACUCAUUUGAUUGUGUUUGUCCUGAUGGAUUCACGGGAGCUCUGUGUGAAAAGAAGAAGUGCUAUGAGCCGCUGCAUCUGAAGUACUAUGACACCGGAGACUCGUGGGGACGGAUCUACCUCCGAUCUGUAGAGCUGUGCACGUGCCUGAGCGGAGGGGUGAGCUGCGAGCGUGCGCGUUACACGGUGUGUUCGAGAA
This is a long non-coding RNA of Sinocyclocheilus rhinocerous, 360 nucleotides long. RefSeq lists it as uncharacterized. The transcript is spliced from 4 exons. NCBI's taxonomy places the organism in Eukaryota, Metazoa, Chordata, Actinopteri, Cypriniformes, Cyprinidae. The record is from RefSeq and is a predicted model, not a curated record.